Molecule: ribosomal RNA, 437 nt
Filed under: uncultured bacterium
Lineage: Bacteria
Description: bacterial SSU rRNA
Rfam family: Bacterial small subunit ribosomal RNA
Source: RNAcentral
GACGAACGCUGGCGGCGUGCCUAACACAUGCAAGUCGAGCGGAGACAGUGAGUAGCUUGCUACGAGCUGUUUUAGCGGCGGACGGGUGAGUAACGCGUGAGCAACCUUUCCCAGACAGGGGAAUAACACACCGAAAGGUGUACUAAUACCGCAUAAGACCACGGGAUCACAUGGUUCUGGGGUAAAAGAUUUAUCGGUUUGGGGUGGGCUCGCGUCCGAUUAGGUAGUUGGUGAGGUAACGGCCCACCAAGCCGACGAUCGGUAGCCGACCUGAGAGGGUGAUCGGCCACAUUGGGACUGAGACACGGCCCAAACUCCUACGGGAGGCAGCAGUGGGGAAUAUUGGGCAAUGGGGGGAACCCUGACCCAGCAACGCCGCGUGGAGGAAGAAGGUUUUCGGAUCGUAAACUCCUGUCCUUGGAGACGAGUAGAAGACG